UGGGGAAUUUUGGACAAUGGGCGCAAGCCUGAUCCAGCCAUUCCGCGUGCAGGAUGAAGGCCCUCGGGUUGUAAACUGCUUUUGUACGGAACGAAAAGGUUUUCUCUAAUACAGGAAGCUGAUGACGGUACCGUAAGAAUAAGCACCGGCUAACUACGUGCCAGCAGCCGCGGUAAUACGUAGGGUGCAAGCGUUAAUCGGAAUUACUGGGCGUAAAGCGUGCGCAGGCGGUUAUGUAAGACAGGUGUGAAAUCCCCGGGCUUAACCUGGGAACUGCAUUUGUGACUGCAUAGCUAGAGUACGGUAGAGGGGGAUGGAAUUCCGCGUGUAGCAGUGAAAUGCGUAGAUAUGCGGAGGAACGCCGAUGGCGAAGGCAAUCCCCUGGACCUGUACUGACGCUCAUGCACGAAAGCGUGGGGAGCAAACAGGAUUAGAUACCCUGGUAGUCCACGCCCUAAACGAUGUCAACUGGUUGUUGGGUCUUCACUGACUCAGUAACGAAGCUAACGCGUGAAGUUGACCNCNUGGAAGNGUACGGCCGCAAGGUUG
RNAcentral lists this ribosomal RNA (549 nucleotides) under uncultured bacterium. RNAcentral describes it as "bacterial SSU rRNA". It matches the Rfam family "Bacterial small subunit ribosomal RNA", at positions 355 to 896 of the family's 1533-position model. The record is from RNAcentral.